UACGUAGGUGGCAAGCGUUGUCCGGAUUUACUGGGCGUAAAGGAUGCGUAGGCGGAUAUUUAAGUGAGAUGUGAAAUUCCCGGGCUUAACUUGGGAGCUGCAUUUCAAACUGGAUAUCUAGAGUGCGGGAGAGGAGAAUGGAAUUCCUAGUGUAGCGGUGAAAUGCGUAGAGAUUAGGAAGAACACCAGUGGCGAAGGCGAUUCUCUGGACCGUAACUGACGCUGAGGCAUGAAAGCGUGGGUAGCAAACAGG
This 253-nucleotide ribosomal RNA is filed under the name uncultured bacterium. Its description in RNAcentral is "partial 16S ribosomal RNA". It matches the Rfam family "Bacterial small subunit ribosomal RNA", at positions 524 to 776 of the family's 1533-position model. The record is from RNAcentral.